Molecule: long non-coding RNA, 1947 nt
Organism: Brassica napus (rape)
Lineage: Eukaryota; Viridiplantae; Streptophyta; Magnoliopsida; Brassicales; Brassicaceae
Exons: 5
Source: RefSeq, a predicted model, not a curated record
UGUUAAGAGAAGAAAUAUUAAUCUUCAAUGAAGAUGAAUUCAUACAGUAUCUAUAAUAAUAAAGCUGAGUUUUCUCUCACCUCAGCCCUCCACAUCAGUACAUAGCAUGAGGCUUUUGUUGACACCUGUCCAAAAAGCUUAGCCAAUCAAAACCUUUGGCAACAAACAGGUCAUUCAGUAUUGAGAUGCGUUUUCUCCUACGCUUCGUUUUCUCUAAUCAAAACUGUAGUCUAUCAUCUCGCUUCAUAUCCUUCUCGAUGGCUCAGCCUUUCCUGUCACCUCUUUCCAAAACUCCCCUUUCGCUUUGAUUUUCUUCAGGCCCUAACCAGCAAUCGAGCAAUAUAUCAGGUUUCCUUUCUAAAUCUAAUACCCACCGCUCUACACUUCAUUCCGUCGAAACACUUUCCAGGGUUUCUGUUUUGUUGUGUGAUCAUGAGACUCAAGAGAUUGAAGGAGCGACCUUAUAUGAUUCUAUGUCUACGAUGAGGAUGAGUUUGAUGACCCCAAAACAAAUAUGAAACAAACGAUGAUAUUUAUUGAUUACCGCCCAAGCUUCACUCUUUGUUUUGUUUUGUUGUGUUUUUUUCCUUUGUUACACUCAUGCUGAUUACUUCCUAAUUAAUUGAGUUCUCUGUGGUUUAUUAUUUUUUAUGUGUGGAAAGGAUCUCACUUUGAGUAAUAGCUCCAGCAAAAGGUACAACUUCUCUUUUGAAUUUGAUACUUGAUCUGCUUUCAUUACUGGGACUCCAAAUCAACUUAUAUUAGGCUAACAAUCUCUCUUGCCUGUUCAAUUGCUAUUAAUCUCGAUUCUGGAGAGUUUCUCGUCGUCAAACAGGUUAAUUUGAAAACUGUCUCAUUUUGAAUACUGUAAUUUUACUCUGCAAUUUGUUUUAAAAUUCCCCUCUCUCCCUGAAGUUUGAUUCUUAUGAUGAGUUUUUCGGUGAUCUGUGGGCUCUCCAAGCUCAUUCGUUCUACAUCUCAUCACCUUAAUUUGUUUAAUUACUCACGUAUUCUAUAAUUUUUUUGGGUGUUUACUCUAGCGUUAUUAUUGUGUUUUUAUUGACUGGAUUUUAGUUGCUAAUAAACAUACAUGUUUCUUUGUUGAUAUUGUCCUCCGACUUCUCUUUCAUCAUAUUAUCUUAGUUAUUUUUUCUCUACAAUGAUUUGAUUUAUUCAUGACUUUCCUACUUUUGUUCAUCAUAUUCAGAAGCUGGAAAAGAAAGUUAAGCUUCUCAAGAAUCACUCACAUCCAAAUAUAGUUGUAUUUACGCACAUUGAGAGAAUGAAACUUUGAACAUCUUCUUCCAUAUCAUACUAUAUUCCAGAGCGUCGAAAACCAUGGCGAAUCCUCAAGUUCUUUUGUAUGAGUUGAACGUUGAUUGGCGCAAGGAAAUUGCAGAGGCCAAACGUCGGUACACAGCAACAUCCUUUAUAACGUAUGUGUUUUUAACAACUUAGCCACUACCGACCACCACUUCCAGACUUUGGAGGUCAUGGAAGGGAUAACCAGCCUGGUGAUGACAUGCUUGGAGCUGGAGCGGUUAAAACCAAUCCUACUGAUAGGUUUAACAGUGCAUCGCCUGAGAAAAUACCUGAUGGUGAUAACGCUGGAAUGCUUUAAGAAAGUGCUGUCGGCCCUGCUCUUCCAACUGUUCUGUCUCGAUAAAUCAACAGAUAAGAAAUUAAGAAUGAACCACUAAUGGAGGAGAAGGUUGAAGGGAAGAAGCCACACGUGACUUAACUUCACAGGCUUAGGAGAGCCAAAGGUCAGAAUGGACAACCUCUACUCUUUCGCAUUUCUGUUUUUAAAUGUUUCCACUUUGACUUUGUCUACUGUUUCCUGAAAUUAAACCAGCUGCUGGUUGUGUUUUAACUUUUAGUUGUAGUUGUUACAAGGGAAAGGUAUUCGUUAUAUGUUCAUAAAUAAAAGUUCCUUUAAAUCCUCUA